CAGUCGCCACGGUAAUACGUAGGUGGCAAGCGUUGUCCGGAAUUAUUGGGCGUAAAGGGCUCGCAGGCGGUUUCUUAAGUCUGAUGUGAAAGCCCCCGGCUCAACCGGGGAGGGUCAUUGGAAACUGGGAAACUUGAGUGCAGAAGAGGAGAGUGGAAUUCCACGUGUAGCGGUGAAAUGCGUAGAGAUGUGGAGGAACACCAGUGGCGCAGGCGACUCUCUGGUCUGUAACUGACGCUGAGGAGCGAAAGCGUGGGGAGCGAACAGGAUUAGAUACCCCCGUAGUCCCUGUCUCUUAUAC
This 301-nucleotide ribosomal RNA is filed under the name uncultured bacterium. Its description in RNAcentral is "partial 16S ribosomal RNA". It matches the Rfam family "Bacterial small subunit ribosomal RNA", at positions 509 to 807 of the family's 1533-position model. The record is from RNAcentral.